ACAUACAUAGCUCAUUUGGUAGAGCAAAUCGUUUGUCACGAUUUGGUAACGGGUUCGAUUCCUGUUGUAUAUUCC
This 75-nucleotide transfer RNA is filed under the name Reticulibacter mediterranei. Its description in RNAcentral is "tRNA-Thr". It matches the Rfam family "tRNA". From Rfam's summary of the family: Transfer RNA (tRNA) molecules are approximately 80 nucleotides in length. Their secondary structure includes four short double-helical elements and three loops (D, anti-codon, and T loops). The record is from RNAcentral. Lineage: Bacteria; Bacillati; Chloroflexota; Ktedonobacteria; Ktedonobacterales; Reticulibacteraceae.